GCUCUCCGCGGCCCCGGCCUCCUCCCCAGCGGCCCCACCUCCCCGCAGCCCCUUCUCUCUCUGUCUUCUCCUCCUCUUCCUCCUCCUCCUCCUCCCCUGCCAGGAGCCGCACUGGAGGUGCGAGUUGAUCUCGGGGCUGGCGUGCUGCAAGGACCAGCUUCAGAGGCGACCUGGCAGAGGUGGGAGCGGCGGGGACAGUGGGAGAGGAGAGAGCAGACCCUUUGUCCUUUGCAGCCCAGGCCCCUGGGCUUCCUCCUGGCUUCUCUGGCCCUCGGGGCCCUGCCCAAAGCGUGAAAACAGCCCGGGAGUUCUCCACUUCCAAGAGAAACCCAUCGCUUUGGAGCGAGACCCUGAUGGGACCUUGUCGUCCUCAGCGGCCCCCUCUCUCCCUCUGGUUGACUUCAAGUUGGGGCCCAAGCAGAAACUACAGGGGUUCUCUGAAUGCGGUGUGGACUAACAAGAUAGGUGCUGUUGAUCACAAUGGGACACUAAGCUUUUGGCUGAUGGGGAGAAUGGUCAGAAUCCUCAUGGAGAGAGAAAAAAGGAGACGUGGGAUCAGUUUCUGCAAGAAGUUGGGUUAACAAGAAAAGGGGUAAUAGAGACACUUGAAGGACGAGACAUCUGCAGCAAAGAGACUACAUUUCCCUAGCUGGAAAAACAUCCAGGGCCAGCCUGUGGUGCUGGAGGCCUUGGCCUUCCCCCUCCCCAGGGCAGACUGGGUAGACUGGAGCGCCUACGGUGUGCAGAAAAUGAAGUGUCCCGGUUACACCCAUUCUCUUUAAAUACACUGAUCUUACAGGUUCCUGACAUCUUAGAUGGAGAAGUGGCUUUCAGAGACAGGGAACCCUAUGUGGGUUCUGCCCAUUCCCUUAAUGGAUAGCCCACAUUGCUGAAAAGUGUUUCCUUCCAUUUACCCAUUGCUUUUGAUUCCUGGAGUUUUACACAAGGAAUGUAAUCUAACUUCCACGUGUUCAGUUUGUCAAAUUUUUGAAACUAUUGGUCAUGUUCUCCCUAUAGAAGCUGUCCUCCCAUCUAACUAUCUCCCUUUCCGCCAUAUGACAGCCCCAACUUUCCUCAUCGACCAUACUGUAAAUUUUCCACGUUCAUGAAGUUUGGUGCUCAGAGCAUGGGGCAGUGUUUAAAGUGUUCCAGUGAGCAGGCAGAAGAGGAUCAUCCUUGUCCAGACAGCAUGCCUUUGUUGACAUUACUCUGGAUCAAGUUUAUUUUCUGGCAGCUAAAUCACAGUGUUGACUCACACCACACUUGAAGUCAACUGAAUUCCUCAAGAACUUUUCAUGUGUACUGUUAUUUAGUCACGUCCGCAUUACCCUGUGUCUGUGGAGUCGGUUUACUGUACCCAAGAUUUGAGCUUGGCCAUUUAUGAAAUUCUAUCCUGUUCUGAUUCUGUCCUGUUCAGUCCAUAUCUACAGCUACAUAUUGAGGGAGAUGUCCCAGAUUCCAAACUUGAAGAUUUCUGAGUUCAGAGGCAUACUGAACCUGAACAAUUUCAUAUAAGGAAUUAUGGGCCUGGAAUACCAACUGUAAACUGAAGUGUGCAACAUAAAAGGCAACAAUUUGAAGCACAAUAUUCUCUUAAGAUGUUGGGCAGUGACAGCAAACUACAACUCUCAGUCAGCCAUGCCAUCACCAGAGUAAACAACAAUGGGCUGGCAUUGUGGCACAGCGAGUUAAAGCCUCGGUCUGCAGCGCUGGCAUCCCAUAUGGGCGCUGGUUCAAGUCCCACUGCUCUACUUCCAAUCCAGCUUUCUGCUAUGGCCUGGGAAAGCAGCAGAAGAUGGCCGAAGUCCUUGGGCUCCUGUACCCGCAUGGGAGACCUAGAAGAAGCUCCGGCUCCCGGCUUCAGGCCAGCUCAGCUCUGGCCAUUGUGGUCAUUUGGGGAGUGAACCAGCAGAUGGAAGACCUCUCUCUCUCUCUCCCUCUCUCUGGCUCUGCCUCUCUCUG
This is a long non-coding RNA of Lepus europaeus (European hare), 1962 nucleotides long. RefSeq lists it as uncharacterized. NCBI's taxonomy places the organism in Eukaryota, Metazoa, Chordata, Mammalia, Lagomorpha, Leporidae. The record is from RefSeq and is a predicted model, not a curated record. The transcript has 4 exons.